RNAcentral lists this ribosomal RNA (497 nucleotides) under uncultured bacterium. RNAcentral describes it as "partial 16S ribosomal RNA". It matches the Rfam family "Bacterial small subunit ribosomal RNA", at positions 28 to 507 of the family's 1533-position model. The record is from RNAcentral.
GAUGAACGCUGGCGGCGUGCCUAAUACAUGCAAGUCGAGCGAACAGACGAGGAGCUUGCUCCUCUGACGUUAGCGGCGGACGGGUGAGUAACACGUGGAUAACCUACCUAUAAGACUGGGAUAACUUCGGGAAACCGGAGCUAAUACCGGAUAAUAUAUUGAACCGCAUGGUUCAAUAGUGAAAGACGGUUUUGCUGUCACUUAUAGAUGGAUCCGCGCCGCAUUAGCUAGUUGGUAAGGUAACGGCUUACCAAGGCGACGAUGCGUAGCCGACCUGAGAGGGUGAUCGGCCACACUGGAACUGAGACAAGGUCCAGACUCCUACGGGAGGCAGCAGUAGGGAAUCCUCCGCAAUGGGCGAAAGCCUGACGGAGCAACGCCGCGUGAGUGAUGAAGGUCUUCGGAUCGUAAAACUCUGUUAUUAGGGAAGAACAAAUGUGUAAGUAACUAUGCACGUCUUGACGGUACCUAAUCAGAAAGCCACGGCUAACUACGUG